Ornithorhynchus anatinus (platypus) is the source of this 377-nucleotide long non-coding RNA. RefSeq lists it as uncharacterized. Lineage: Eukaryota; Metazoa; Chordata; Mammalia; Monotremata; Ornithorhynchidae. The record is from RefSeq and is a predicted model, not a curated record. The transcript has 2 exons.
AACCUGAAAGGAGAGCGGAGAACGACGGAAGGAUGGGAGCUUCAAAGAUCUGGGGACAUCACCCUGCUUAGGUUUUAAGGAUUCAGCUAAUUCCGUUGCCUCUGAUCGCUGAUCGAUAAACACUGCAGAAUUAACCACGACUAUUACCGAUUGGCUCUCGACACGAGUAUGAAAGAGAAACAACCGAAUGGAUUGGUAAACCCAGAAACCAUGCCUCCAAGAUUAUUUUCUCCCCAUCUCUGGAGUAAAUCCCUCCUUUUCUACCACCACCACGAAGGCAAAAAUGACGCUUUGGAGGCAACCAUCAGCUCCUCCCUCAAAGAGGUAGUGAGUGCACUGUGAGCCUGAGAUCAAGUCUGAGAAUCUUUUAGAACUCA